Molecule: unclassified non-coding RNA, 331 nt
Filed under: soil metagenome
Description: partial contains 5.8S ribosomal RNA, internal transcribed spacer 2, and large subunit ribosomal RNA
Rfam family: 5.8S ribosomal RNA (bases 1-120)
Source: RNAcentral
GAUGAAGAACGUAGCGAAAUGCGAUAAGUAAUGUGAAUUGCAGAAUUCAGUGAAUCAUCGAAUCUUUGAACGCACAUUGCGCCCCCUGGUAUUCCGGGGGGCAUGCCUGUUCGAGCGUCAUUUCACCACUCAAGCCUCGCUUGGUAUUGGGCAACGCGGUCCGCCGCGUGCCUCAAAUCGUCCGGCUGGGUCUUCUGUCCCCUAAGCGUUGUGGAAACUAUUCGCUAAAGGGUGUUCGGGAGGCUACGCCGUAAAACAACCCCAUUUCUAAGGUUGACCUCGGAUCAGGUAGGGAUACCCGCUGAACUUGAGCAUAUCAAUAAGCGGAGGA